UGCUCGUCUCUGGCUCAGUGCAUUGCCACAUCUCCUGGUGUAUACCAGUGCCAAUGCUACAAGGGUUUAAUCGAUGAAAAUCCCUCAAAUCCAGGAAGGUUAUGCAAAGAUUCCGUAGGCUGCUUCCGUGAAAGAACUGAUCUGUGCUCAUCAAGAAAUACAUGCCUUAAGUCAAAGUCUGUCUGCUCCCUUGGGAAUGUGUUCAAGUCAUCAGUGGAGUUGAAAUCAUGGGUGUUCACUCCAGCUCUGUACGACCCUGC
This is a long non-coding RNA of Megalops cyprinoides (Indo-Pacific tarpon), 260 nucleotides long. RefSeq lists it as uncharacterized. The record is from RefSeq and is a predicted model, not a curated record. The transcript has 3 exons. NCBI's taxonomy places the organism in Eukaryota, Metazoa, Chordata, Actinopteri, Elopiformes, Megalopidae.